This 217-nucleotide non-coding RNA is filed under the name unclassified sequences. RNAcentral's name for it is "RAGATH-7 RNA". It matches the Rfam family "RAGATH-7 RNA". Rfam says of the family: RNA motif Associated with Genes Associated with Twister and Hammerhead ribozymes (RAGATH). The record is from Rfam by way of RNAcentral.
AUUAAUUAUUAUUUAUCCUUAAUUUAUAUGCACAGUAAAUUGUUGAUAUCUAAUAGUUAAUAAUCCACACGUGGUAAGAGGUCAUAGUUAGGUUCACUGUGAUGUGCAACUCUUAUAAUGAGCAACCAAUCCUAAGCAAGUAGGGAGAAAUACUCUUAACCAUAAGUAGUGUUAACAUGGUGCUUGACAGUAUAAUACUAACUGACAAUAAGUAUUA